RNAcentral lists this ribosomal RNA (1224 nucleotides) under Hystrichopsylla weida qinlingensis. RNAcentral's name for it is "16S ribosomal RNA". The stretch from base 979 to 1136 matches the Rfam family "Archaeal large subunit ribosomal RNA", at positions 2544 to 2703 of the family's 2987-position model. Lineage: Eukaryota; Metazoa; Arthropoda; Insecta; Siphonaptera; Hystrichopsyllidae. The record is from RNAcentral.
AUAAAGAUUUAAUAAUUUUAGUAAUAGUAUAUAAGUAUUGUAAAAGAAAAUUUUAAAAAAUUAAAAAGUAAAUUUUAUUUAUUGUACCUUGUGUAUCAGGGUUUAUUAAUAAAAAAAUAUAUAUGUUAUUUUUCUCGAAUUUAAAAGGGUUAAUAUAUUAUAUAAUAUAUAAUAGCAAAUUUAUUUAUAAUAAUAUAUUAGUAAUGAAAUGUUAAACGUUUUUAAAUAUAUCUAGUUUUUUUAGAAAUAAAUUUAAUUUAAAAAAUUUAAAUAUUUAGUUUAAUUAUUAAAUUAAAUCUUUUAAAUUUUAAAUAUUUUUAGGGAUAAGCUUAGGAAUAAUAAAUUAUAAUUAAUUAUUACUUUAAUAAAUUUAUAGGGUUAGAAAUAUUCAUUAUUUAUAAAAAUGUUAUAAUUUAUUUAUUAUAAAAAAGUAUUUUAUUAAAUUUAAUUAUUUAUAAAAAAUAUAUUUUUAAUUAUUAAAAUUAUGUUAUUAUGAUAAAAUUAGUAUAUUUAGUUAUAAAAAUAAUUUAAUAAUAAUGAAAGGUUAUUAUAAGGAAUUCGGCAACUUUAAUAUUCACCUGUUUAACAAAAACAUGUCUUUUUGAUAAUAAUAAAAAGUCUAAUCUGCCCAUUGAAUUUUUUAAAAGGCCGCGGUAUUUUGACUGUGCAAAGGUAGCAUAAUCAAUAGUUUUUUAAUUAGAAGCUGGAAUGAAUGAUUGAAUGAAAUAUUAACUGUCUUAUUUUAAUUGUUAUAGAAUUUAAUUUUUAAGUUAAAAAGCUUAAAUUUAAUUAAAGGACGAGAAGACCCUUUAAAGCUUUAUAUUUGAAUUUAUAUAUUUAAAAAGAAUAAUGAUUUUAUAUAAAUAAAUAUAUUUUAUUGGGGUGAUAGGAAAAUUUAUAAAACUUUUUUUUUAUAAGAACAUUAAUUAUUGAAUAAUUGAUCCAUAAAUUAUGAUUAAAAGAUUAAGUUACUUAAGGGAUAACAGCGUAAUAUUUUUUGAGAGAACAUAUUGAUAAAAAAGAUUGCGACCUCGAUGUUGGAUUAAGAUAAUUUUUAGGUGUAGAAGUUUAAAAAUUUGGUCUGUUCGACCAUAUAUUCUUACAUGAUCUGAGUUCAGACCGGUGUGAGCCAGGUUGGUUUCUAUCCUUAAUUAUUAUUAAGUUAAUUAGUACGAAAGGACCAUUAAUUUAUAAAAUUUAUAUAAAAUUUUGAAUAAAAUUAAU